AGUGAAUCUCCUUCGGGAGUGAAGCUAGCGGCGGACGGGUCAGUAACACGUGGGCAACCUGCCUCAUAGAGGGGAAUAGCCUUUCGAAAGGAAGAUUAAUACCGCAUAAGAUUGUAGCUUCGCAUGAAGUAGCAAUUAAAGGAGCAAUCCGCUAUGAGAUGGGCCCGCGGCGCAUUAGCUAGUUGGUGAGGUAACGGCUCACCAAGGCGACGAUGCGUAGCCGACCUGAGAGGGUGAUCGGCCACAUUGGGACUGGGACACGGCCCAGACUCCUACGGGAGGCAGCAGUGGGGAAUAUUGCACAAUGGGGGAAACCCUGAUGCAGCAACGCCGCGUGAGUGAUGACGGCCUUCGGGUUGUAAAGCUCUGUCUUCAGGGACGAUAAUGACGGUACCUGAGGAGGAAGCCACGGCUAACUACGUGCCAGCAGCCGCGGUAAUACGUAGGUGGCGAGCGUUGUCCGGAUUUACUGGGCGUAAAGGGAGCGUAGGCGGACUUUUAAGUGAGAUGUGAAAUACCCGGGCUCAACUUGGGUGCUGCAUUUCAAACUGGAAGUCUAGAGUGCAGGAGAGGAGAAUGGAAUUCCUAGUGUAGCGGUGAAAUGCGUAGAGAUUAGGAAGAACACCAGUGGCGAAGGCGAUUCUCUGGACUGUAACUGACGCUGAGGCUCGAAAGCGUGGGGAGCAAACAGGAUUAGAUACCCUGGUAGUCCACGCCG
This 718-nucleotide ribosomal RNA is filed under the name uncultured bacterium. RNAcentral describes it as "bacterial SSU rRNA". It matches the Rfam family "Bacterial small subunit ribosomal RNA", at positions 68 to 802 of the family's 1533-position model. The record is from RNAcentral.